UGUCACCUUCAGUCUAGUUGUGGAGAUAAAGAGAUGCUGGACUUGCUUUCACAGAGUGGAGGUGGGGGCAGGAGAGCCACUGGGAGAAGGGCGUGGAGUGGGGCACAGGCUGCCUGGCUGGGCCCCGAGGUUCCUGGGGGACUCUCCCCACCAAGCCCAGCACUUCCUGGAAUCGGGCACAAGCUUGGUUGUCCUGGUGGAUGGGCCCCGGGAGCUCCCACUGUGGGCACAGCUGGAGAGACCCUGCGAAGGUGCCCUACUGCGGCUCUGAGGCGGGUGAAGCCUGGGGGAAGACGGCCCCGGGCCCAGGGAGGCCUGCAGUGUGCAGCACUUCCCUCUGCUUCCCAGGACCCCGCAGCCCUGCUCCCGGCCAGCCAGCCCAGAGCCUGAGCUGCUGCCAGAGGCCGACUCCAAGAAGCUCCCUUCCCCUGCCCGGGCAACAGAGACAGACAAGGAGCCCCAGCGCCUGCUGGUCCCUGACAUCCAGGAGAUCCGAGUCAGCCCGAUCGUCUCCAAGAAGGGGUACCUGCACUUCCUGGAGCCGCACACGU
Molecule: small RNA, 551 nt
Filed under: Pongo abelii (Sumatran orangutan)
Lineage: Eukaryota; Metazoa; Chordata; Mammalia; Primates; Hominidae
Description: retained intron
Source: RNAcentral